RNAcentral lists this non-coding RNA (45 nucleotides) under Schistosoma mattheei. Lineage: Eukaryota; Metazoa; Platyhelminthes; Trematoda; Strigeidida; Schistosomatidae. The record is from RNAcentral.
AUCCAACUGACGAGUCCUAAAUAGGACGGAAUGCGUGUUUUGGAU